GCUCCUCUGAACUGGCUCCUCUGAACUGGCUCCUGGGUGUGACUGAACCCAGCGCUGGCUGGGAGCGGUACUUGGAGGUAUCACGCGGCUCAGCGGGCAGUGAGGAGGCGGCUUGUGCUUCAUCCAGCCCAGCGUUUCUCAUGAUAUACUCUGCGUUUAAGUUAAAUAAGCGAGGUGGCAAGAUAUUCAAUAGCCCUUGCAUUGUGUAUUUUUCUUUCUAUCGCACUGUCAUUUCAAAGGCCUUCGUAUAUCCUUCCCCUGCUGCUGCUGCUGCUGCUGCUGAGUCACUUCAGUCGUGUCCGACUCUGUGCAACCCCAUAGACGGCAGCCCACCAGG
Molecule: long non-coding RNA, 337 nt
Organism: Budorcas taxicolor (takin)
Lineage: Eukaryota; Metazoa; Chordata; Mammalia; Artiodactyla; Bovidae
Exons: 3
Source: RefSeq, a predicted model, not a curated record